GCCAUUCGGCGUGCACGCGCGUGAGAGGGGACCAGGCACGCAACCGUUAGGAGACUGUCUGGAGUCUGUCUCAAAUUGAUAAAAUUGGAAAUGGAGUUUUACGCGUCUCUGCGCAUCUAUAAGGAACCCGCCUGGUGGGAAAAUGGGAUCUCAGCGCUCCUCCUCAGACGUCUCUUUUUCUUCAGUCGCCACGCAUUUGACGAAAUGUUUAUUUUCCUUCUUUAGAAAACAAACAAACAACAACAAAAAAACCCUAAAGUUUCCCCCCUAAUUCUACAUCACAUCAGCAGACAGCCAGCUCCUUGUGCACAGGGAAUAACCCUUCAGCCAUGGAGUUUAACAUGAGUGCAUCAUGCAUAAGGCAGUCUGCAGAAGCACAGAAAGCCACUGACAUUGACAUUCAGAACUUCAUGUCCACGAAUGGUGCAGAAAGAACUGUGUUGGUGGACUAGGAGGAAGAUGUCACACUAAGGAUGGUUUUUUUUGGCGAUGAUGUUGGUGCUGUUGAUGCAGCAUCGAGCUCUCACUUUGUGCCUCUGUCAGCUAUGAUCCAUAACCAUAAAGUGAGUGACAGGCCAUUCUCCGGGGGGAAAGCAGAGGUCUGAGGUGAGUCAGAUCUCCUACUCAUACAUUGGUGUCCCCAUCUGAACUUCCUGCAGCUCCUGUUCCUGUGAACAUCCAGAUAAAGAUUCCUAUUGGUUGAAUGAAGGAUCAAAACAACAGUGGAGUGUGAUUGUAUGUGUGUGUGUGAGAGAGAGGGCUAAACAGAGAGGAGAAGCAGAAAUUAAUGCAGUCUGGGGAAUGUGUGGGAGAAUAAAAUAAAAAAAAAUACAGUGAUUAAUGUGUGUGAAUACGCUUGUGUGUGUAUGUGUGUAAGGCAGACUGAGUGUAUAAGUUUAGAGAGUGUGAAAGCUGUGUGUGGAGAAUGGGUUACUAAGAGAGGCGGAGGUGGGGUAGGGUGGAGGAAGGAGGGAAAGGGAGGGGGACAGCCACCUGCAGCCAUGACGGGCUUUGACCUUCAUUGCACUCUUUCCCCUCCCCCUCCACCCUCUCCCUCUCUCACCCUUUCUGCUCCUUAUUUCUGCCUUGCGAUAGAAAUUCAGGCUCCUUUCAGAAGCGGCGAAGAAGACUGACCGUCUCGGAGACAGUGCUGGGAGCAGCCCCAACGCUAGUUGCUGGCCGUUAGACAUGGCGUUCAAAGACUAGCGGUGCAAGAAUGGAAAUGCAGAUAAGGCAUCUUUUGGGAAACAGGCCUGGGAAUUGUUCAAGGCUCUCACUUGUAUGAUAUUAUGAUUAUUUUUAUUUAUUCAUUUAAUCUGGAAAGUAAUGAAUGUGAUCUUGCAAUGAUUUCAUGGACAUUUCCUAUGUAUAUGAAUGACUUUGUGAACAUUAUGGUUUUCCAGGUAAUUCUGCCAAAUAAAGACUGUAUGUAAACAUUUCAACAUAUGAACAAGAGAAGCCAGAGACCUGCUCAUGUAUAAUCUCCAAGGUUUUAUUUACUCUUCUUUUGCGGCUGUUCAGGAGGCAGUUAAUUACACAAUUAAUACAUGAUACAAAUUAUGUACAUAUAUACCAAGAAUACUUCCAACAUAAAAUAAAAAAUAGCAUUGUAUUCUACAACUCUGUGUUGUAAUUUCAUUUAAACAUGUUCAUAUAUAGAUAUACGCUGAUGAGUAAAUUCAUAAUGUCGUACCAGCAGUUCUCAUAAAGGCAUUAAAACUUGAGCAAGUCUGCAUUUGAAGUAACACUGCUUUUCUGAUUCGGCACAGUUCUGUUUCAGGAAAAAAAAAGUUCCACUUGAACUUUUUAAGGCAAAGUGUGUUUCUGUUUGGUGGAUUUUCUUUCUUUUUUUUUAAAUUCAUACACACUUUUUGCAGAUGCACAACAAAAAGGAAAAAAAAAACACAUUGAAAAAGGCAAAAAAAGUUCACAAUUUGGUAUGGAUACAAUCUGAAACUCGAUCAUACUUUUUUGUUGAUAUAGACCAAAGUUAAGAAACACAGUUGUUUUUGCCCAAAGUACAACAAAUUGCAGCUUCCAUGCAAAAAAGGCCCCAUAAACUUUUUUUUUCCAUUCACAAUGAAAAGAACAAAAAACGAAAAAAACAAAAAGAAGUUAUUGCAAGAUAAACAAGCAGUGUAAACACCUCAGAUAUCUACUCUAAAGCAACACUGGUCAUUGGAUAGAUUUUUUUCUGAAUAUAAUCUAUAUAAAUACACAUAUGAAGUCCUUUCAACAACAAUAAGAGAUUUCCAACAUUUGUAUUACAGUCACUGAUGGAGUUCCCUUCUUUUUAUGAUAUAUGUAAUAAAAAUGUAAAUAGAGAAAGAUUUACCAAGAACAUCCAACAUUCUGCAUGUAAAAGUCUAAAGAGUGCGCAGAAAUGGUUUUCAUCAUUGUCUUUAUGCUACAGAGUUGUUUCUGUGACUCAAAAGGCAGCAUUAUAGCCUUUUUUUAGCUACAGAAAGGAUUUAUAUUGCUAUUUAAAACUAUAAUAGCUGCACUGAUGCAUUGGCAUAAAAUGAAGAGCGCACACACAUUUGUUUAAAGGCUGAGACACGACCAUAGUAAUCAUAAAAGCAAGGCCUAGCUUUCUGUGUUGGUUAAAAAAAAGAGAAAUAAGUAAAACCUAUUUGUACCCUGUCAAUUCCAGUGGCGGUUUUUGAAUUAUGGUCAUCUCCCCAGGGCAGCAUGGUCUAGGGGGCUGCCAUGAUAGAAAGAAGAGAGACAGAAAACAGCUUAAACUGAGGCAAUGAUGCAAACCACAGUAUGCUACUUGGUCAAUCCUAGGCUUUUUUUGUUGUUUUUUUAUUUGAAGUGACUAUCUCUGGUGAAGAAAAGAGAUUCGCAGUGGAGAUUCAUCGGUCACUUUUUCCGAUAGCACUUUUCCUUUGAGGUCUGAGUUGCUGAUUAAGAUUUGAUGUAUUUCAAUUAUUUUAUGUAAAGGAUUUAAAGCACAUUAAAAAGGCAAAACUA
Molecule: long non-coding RNA, 2976 nt
Organism: Cyprinodon tularosa
Lineage: Eukaryota; Metazoa; Chordata; Actinopteri; Cyprinodontiformes; Cyprinodontidae
Exons: 5
Source: RefSeq, a predicted model, not a curated record